Molecule: ribosomal RNA, 460 nt
Filed under: uncultured bacterium
Lineage: Bacteria
Description: partial 16S ribosomal RNA
Rfam family: Bacterial small subunit ribosomal RNA
Source: RNAcentral
CCUACGGGUGGCAGCAGUGAGGAAUAUUGGUCAAUGGGCGAGAGCCUGAACCAGCCAAGUCGCGUGAAGGAUGACGGCCCUACGGGUUGUAAACUCCUUUUGUCAGGGAGCAAUUGGGUCCACGCGUGGGCUUAGCGAGAGUACCUGACGUACAAGCAUCGGCUAACUCCGUGCCAGCAGCCGCGGUAGUACGUAGGAUGCGAGCGUUAUCCGGAUUUAUUGGGUUUACCGGGUGCGUAGGCGGAAUAUCAAGUCAGCGGUAAAAAGUCGGGGCUGAACCCCGUCGUGCCGUGGAAACUGAUGGUCUUGAGUGUGCGAGAAGUAUGCGGAAUGCGUGGUGUAGCGGUGAAAUGCAUAGAGAUCACGCAGAACUCCGAUGGCGAAGGCAGCAUACCGGCGCCCAACUGACGCUGAAGCACGAAAGCGUGGGUAGCGAACAGGAUUAGAUACCCCAGUAGUC